UUAAAGUCUAACCUGCCCACUGAAAUUUUAAAUGGCCGCAGUAUUCUAACUGUGCAAAGGUAGCAUAAUCAUUAGUCUUUUAAUUGAAGGCUGGAAUGAAUGGUUGGACGAAAUAUUAACUGUUUCAUUUGAUUUUUUUUUAGAAUUUUAUUUUUUAGUCAAAAAGCUAAAAUUUAUUUAAAAGACGAGAAGACCCUAUAAAUCUUUAUAUUUUAUUUAUUUUAAUUAUAAAGAUUAUUUUUAUUAUAAUAAAUUAAAAUAUUUUAUUGGGGUGAUAUUAAAAUUUAAAAAACUUUUAAUUUUUAAAAUCAUUAAUUUAUGAAUAAUUGAUCCAUUAAUAGUGAUUAAAAAUUUAAGUUACUUUAGGGAUAACAGCGUAAUUUUUUUGGAGAGUUCAUAUCGAUAAAAAAGAUUGCGACCUCGAUGUUGGAUUAAGAUAUAAUUUUGGGUGUAGCCGUUCAAAUUUUAAGUCUGUUCGACUUUUAAAUUCUUACAUGAUCUGAGUUCAAACCGGCGUAAGCCAGGUUGGUUUCUAUCUUUAAAAAAUUAAAAUAUUUUAGUACGAAAGGACCAAAUAUUAAAAUAAUUAUAUUUUUAAAAAAGAAUAUUAUUAAUUAAA
This 619-nucleotide ribosomal RNA is filed under the name Drosophila navojoa. RNAcentral describes it as "partial 16S ribosomal RNA". It matches the Rfam family "Bacterial large subunit ribosomal RNA", at positions 1895 to 2761 of the family's 2925-position model. Lineage: Eukaryota; Metazoa; Arthropoda; Insecta; Diptera; Drosophilidae. The record is from RNAcentral.